CCCAUUACUGACUGUGAAUUGAUCAGUUAUUUACUUGCAGGUUUGGGUCUUGAAUAUGAUUUAUUAAUCAGAUCCCUCACUAUACGAAUUGAUCCGAUGCUUCUCCAAGAAGUCUAUGACCAUCUCCUUAAUUAUGAGC
Small nucleolar RNA from Juglans microcarpa x Juglans regia, 139 nucleotides. RefSeq annotates it as small nucleolar RNA Z247. The transcript has a single exon. NCBI's taxonomy places the organism in Eukaryota, Viridiplantae, Streptophyta, Magnoliopsida, Fagales, Juglandaceae. The record is from RefSeq and is a predicted model, not a curated record.